UUAAGUUCAGCGGGUAUCCCUACCUGAUCCGAGGUCAAACUGUGGAAGGGGUCUUGAUGGUUGUCGGUCGAGUUUCACAAGCCUCCAGAAGCGCAAUGCGCUGCGCGUGGGCAAAAACACAGACGACUGCCAAUACCUUUGAGGCGAGUCCGCGCACGAAGACGGGACAGACGCCCAACACCAAGCAGAGCUUGAGGGGG
RNAcentral lists this unclassified non-coding RNA (200 nucleotides) under Pleosporales sp. RNAcentral's name for it is "partial internal transcribed spacer 2". Lineage: Eukaryota; Fungi; Ascomycota; Dothideomycetes; Pleosporales. The record is from RNAcentral.